This 338-nucleotide ribosomal RNA is filed under the name uncultured Pseudomonadota bacterium. RNAcentral describes it as "bacterial SSU rRNA". It matches the Rfam family "Bacterial small subunit ribosomal RNA", at positions 29 to 351 of the family's 1533-position model. Lineage: Bacteria; Pseudomonadati; Pseudomonadota. The record is from RNAcentral.
AAUUAACGCUGGCGGCAUGCCUAACACAUGCAAGUCGCACGAGAAAGCCCCUUUCGGGGGCGAGUACAGUGGCGCACGGGUGAGUAACGCGUGGAUAAUCUACCUCUAUCUGGGGGAUAACCCACCGAAAGGUGGGCUAAUACCGCAUAACCCGGUUGAUUUCUGGAUUGAUCGGUAAAGGUGGCCUCUUCAUGAAAGCUACCGGGAAGAGACGAGUCCGCGUCCCAUUAGCUAGUUGGUAGGGUAAAGGCCUACCAAGGCGACGAUGGGUAGCUGGUCUGAGAGGACGAUCAGCCACACUGGAACUGGAACACGGUCCAGACUCCUACGGGUGGCAG